Long non-coding RNA from Mangifera indica (mango), 1134 nucleotides. RefSeq lists it as uncharacterized. Lineage: Eukaryota; Viridiplantae; Streptophyta; Magnoliopsida; Sapindales; Anacardiaceae. The record is from RefSeq and is a predicted model, not a curated record. The transcript is spliced from 4 exons.
UUUAUAUGAUUUUAAUUUCUUCAAUCUCAACCAUUAGUUUCUUAUGUAUGGUUUUCUCAAAGUUUGUAUAAAUUCUGUUAGAUAUCAUUUAGCAAUAGUAUAGUAACUCCUCGACAUUUACAUUGGGAUAAGAAAGUAAUAAUCAAAUUUAUUUUGGGAAGAUUUUGAAUGAAAUAAGAGUUUCUUUGAUGUCGAAGCAAGCUGAAAUAUAUGCAGGUGAAUACUGGUUACUGGUAAUUUUGGUACUGAUAUGGCUGGCUUGUACUUGUGGAUAUCUAGACUCAUGAAUACAUUUUUUGGCUGAUCUUCUACAUAGCGUUCUGAAUAUGCCUUUAAUGCAGGGGGCUCAAGAUGCAGAGAAGGCAAAAUUGUAUUAGAUUGUUAAGAAAGGUGGUCCAAGUCUUAUUCAAAAUAUGGUUCUCACUUCUGUAAUUUUGAAAGCCAAGGAGCUGGAUGCACCCAAAGAAAUUUUGUAGCGCAACAUUAAGAGAGCUAUUGAGAAGGGACAAGACACUUACAUUGAGAAAAUUUACAAGCUGUUAGAAGAGGUCGUGAAGGACUAUGGAGGAAAGAUGGCACCUGCAGGAUCUGUUAUGUUCAAGUUCAAAUGUGUUCGUGUUGUAAAUAUAAAAGUCACGGAUGCUGACAAAGCCCAGGUCCUUGUCAUUGCUUUAGAUGCUGAUGCUGAGGAUGUUAUCAAGCCUACUGUUUAUGAAGAUGAUGUUGAUGAAGCUAUUAUAAAUUUGCAAGUUCAGCGGAGAACUACCCAUCUAUACUAUCAAAACUACGCGAGGAAGGAAUAAAAUUUGAGACUGAUAGUGGUUCUCAACUGCUUCCCCUAACCACUGUAGGGGUAUGUUUCUGGUCUUCACUUGGUUCUCUACCCUGUAUACUCUCUUUAAUUGGAAAUUAGUUUUUGGACAAUAUUAUAUGCAUCUAGUCUUAAGUAUUUAAUUAAGUUAUUAAAUGAUAUAUCAUCAUUUAAUUGAGUGACAUUUUAUUUUUAAUUUAAAAUCACUCAAUCAUAUGAUGACAUAGUAUCUGAAUAUCCGAUUUGGUACUUAAAAUUAGAUGCUUAUAAUUUUAUUGUUUGUUUAUUUCCUUGUUAGUUUGUGGAAUGGUAAAAUUUGUGGC